Toxorhynchites rutilus septentrionalis is the source of this 594-nucleotide long non-coding RNA. RefSeq lists it as uncharacterized. Lineage: Eukaryota; Metazoa; Arthropoda; Insecta; Diptera; Culicidae. The transcript has 3 exons. The record is from RefSeq and is a predicted model, not a curated record.
AAAGAUUCGUACAUUUUACUUCAUAGCAUGUGUAACCUCAAUUGUUUUCAUUUCUAGGAACUGUAAUGUGCGUACUUCGCAGUCGUCAUUCUUCUUGAGGAAACAAAGCAAUUCGGAGUUUCUAACCUUGGAUUAAAAUUGCACAGUUGACUGGUGGAAUAUUCAAUGUAUACUUGACUAAGCAUUUGCAACACAAAUAAAUGUCAGGAAACGGGAAAGCAAAUAAUACGGAUGAAAUGUACUGCGAUCUGGUCCCAUCAACUGCCAACUAAUCAGUUGUUCGUGACCUAAAAGAUGAAAAUGUGUAACAGGAAAAGGAGCAAAACCUUGAUGAGCGAGAAUUUGAAAAAACACAUGAGACUGAUUCGGUCGAGGCUGCGAUUAAAUCUGUCUAUUUGCACGAGCAAUGUUUAGAUAUAGAAUGUAGGAUGUAGGAUAUUACUGUGUAAAAGAUAAUGUAUGAUUGAAGACAGCUUUAUAAAUAAGAAUUAAUUAUCAACAACAUAAUGUCAUUAUCCCUUAUCAUUAUCUCUUACAAAUAAAAAACAACGUUUUCACUGAUGUUGCUCCAAUGGUGGGCCAACAUGCCCACCA